Molecule: long non-coding RNA, 581 nt
Filed under: Homo sapiens (human)
Lineage: Eukaryota; Metazoa; Chordata; Mammalia; Primates; Hominidae
Description: non-protein coding lnc-MSTN-2:1
Source: RNAcentral
CCUUGAACUUUUCCUGUACCGAAGUCAUCUGUUCAAAGCUCUGGCAACUGCUGUGUAAGAUACUGUUCUAUCCAUUUACUCUGUUCCUUGAAUCUGGUUGCCAGAAUUAAGGAUGCUACAGAGAACACAGAAUCUUGAAGUAGGGAAUUCUUGAACUCAGGUAAUUAAUAAAAUGUCUCCAACAUCUCUAAAGAUCACACUAAGGCAACUCAUGGAGGGGUCUUCAAAGACCUUGCAAGAAGUACUAACUAUGGAGUAUCGGCUAAGUCAAGCUUGUAUGUUUUAAUUGAUAAAGACCAGAGUCCAAAAUGGAAACCAGCUGAUCUAAAAGAAGUUACUGAGGAAGAUUUGAAUAAUCACUUUAAGUCUUUGGGAAGCAGUGAUUUGAAAUUUUGAGGUGACAGGCUUUUAAGAAAAAAGUUUGUCAAUCCUUGUUUUAGAAGAUGGAAAAAUGUGAAGAUCUUUGGAGAUUCUCUUGAGUGGUAUAUCUAAUUGAAAUGGGAUCUUCGUUUGGCUUGUAUGUUGAUGAAAUCAACUUAGGUAUACAAUAUAAAAAAUAAAGACCCUGAAAAUUGUUUUGG